UGAUCAGUGACAAUCAGAUUGAUGUGCAUGUUAAAAUAACUGUGGAUCCUGGUAUUUGUAGAAGCUCUAAGAAAAAACUGUAUUCUGAUAACCACCUAUUUACAUUUAUUAUAUGUUAUUACUAACUUCCUGUGUUGAUUGUAGCGACGAACAAAAGUGGCACAAAAUUAGUGACGCAUGAAUAGUACAACAGUAGUAACACAGUAUACAAACCUAACAUCACCUUACAUCAUAUUUGGUUCACUGAUAUUAUUGGAAAAACUGAGACUCUGCUAUUCUCUUGUUUAACAAAAAUGACAGUUCUACCAUUGUAUCAUGACUGGUUUCAUUUUUGUCUUUGUGGUUAAAAUGUGUUAACCACAUUCUCGUGCCUUUGCUGUCGGUGGCUUCUGUCAGUUUUUUCUUUAAAUGUCACAAGAGUAACUGAUGACCCUUAAUUCCUGUAAAGUGGGUCUGACCGACACUAUUUCUGUGGAAAGAAAAGCAAAAGGGCAGCUCACACACAUGAGAUGUAACAUUAGUGAACUAACACCAGUGAAUAUAAGCCAUUUGCAGCGUGUCGUCUCAAUGUGUUUUCAGCCCUGACUUGUACAGUAAAGCAACUCCUACUCCAUUCACCAGGCAGGGAUGGCAAGAUCAGCCUUAUCCAGAAACAGAGGACAGAUUUUUUUCAUCUUCUCUCUGCUGUCAUUGGUUUAUGUUGCAAAUUCACUGAGCAAUAAAGAACUUUUGAAACUCAAAGAACAACUUCGGAAACUAGAAGAAAGAGCAGCCAGAAUGAAGGCAGACUACGAGUACAGUAAAGCAACCAAUUCAAGAGAAUAUGAUGAAAAAAUAGAGCAGUUUUAUUCUAUUUAUGAACUAAUAAAGACAUCAUCAAUCGCAGAGGAUUUUCCACCAUUGCUGGAACUGAUGAACAAAUUUAGUCGCUUCAUUGACAAAUCUAGGGUUUGGUUUAAUGGGGCGGAAGAUCACAAUAAAGCAAGAAUGAAGGACAAUGAAAAGAAACUGGAAGAACUAAAGAACAUCAUCAAAUUUCUAGAGGAAAAACGAGAUGAACUCUAACGGUUUCUAUUUAAUAUUUUCAAAAUAAAUACAUGUUGUUUAGAUAUACUAUGUUUUCAUGAAAGAGGUGGACAUCAUUUAUUGCCUGAACUGUGAUUCAUUUUCAUUCAUUUAUACACUUUAAAUAAAAUCUGAAAUAUGAUGUAUUACCUGUGGAAAACUUGAUUCUAGGCCAACUCCUUUUUACUUCAUUUUAACAAUUUAUAUUGAUAGUACUGUGUUUUUUGUCAACUAAUUCUUAUUUACAAUUAUAUAUAAGUGACACAAUAUAUAAUAAUACUUCAUUCCUGAUUCUCUUCAACUUAACAUGUAAAACCUGCAGCAUUACUUUGAUUUGGUCCAAGCUGUGCUUAAUCACCAAAACUGGCACUGAAUUCAGGUCAGACUUAUUAAAGUUUACAUUAUUCUCCUGUCACUGUUAUCACCAUUCAACUGUCACAUUUCCGCUUUUCUCAAAUCUAGUCAGAAGGUUUCUGAUUAUAAAUAAUUGGAUAAAUGACAAAUUUCAUAUAUUGACAUAUCAA
Long non-coding RNA from Haplochromis burtoni (Burton's mouthbrooder), 1589 nucleotides. RefSeq lists it as uncharacterized. NCBI's taxonomy places the organism in Eukaryota, Metazoa, Chordata, Actinopteri, Cichliformes, Cichlidae. The record is from RefSeq and is a predicted model, not a curated record. The transcript has 4 exons.